This 4923-nucleotide long non-coding RNA is filed under the name Homo sapiens (human). RNAcentral describes it as "non-protein coding BAIAP2-DT:18". Lineage: Eukaryota; Metazoa; Chordata; Mammalia; Primates; Hominidae. The record is from RNAcentral.
AGCCUGAGGGGGCCCGGGCAACAGCCGGGCUGGGGGCGGGGAGGCGGGGGCGGGGUGGCGCAGGAAGAAGGAGCAGAAGGUGCGGGGAGGAGAGCGGGGGGCGCCGGCGGCAGCGCGCGUGGAGGCGGCACUUCGCGAAGUGGCACUUCGGGGCGGGCGGCCCGCCGGGUCGCGGCCUGGCGCUGCGGGGCGGGGAGCGGCUCGGACGCAGGACGCCGCGGGCCGGGCUUACAGGUGGGAGAGGCCCCGACCCCGCCGCUUCGCAGGCCAGCUUCCUGCUGUGUUCCCUGCACCCACCGAUCUCACACGCAGCCCUAGGACAGACGUCCACUGGCCUGAGUUGGGUCUGGGGCCAACACGGAGCAGGUGGGGGUAGAGCAGCUCUGCUCGCCUGGAGGAAAGUUGAAUGGCUGGAACCAAGAUGACAGAUGGAGGCUGGCAGGCAAACACGGGAGGCCUCCUCACUCCAAGAGGGGAGUCAGCCUGGGGACAGUUCUUCUCCAGGCCCUGCUGCUCCCAUCAGCUGCAACACAGGAGAGGUAGGCUUCUCCGGAAAAGCUCCCACGGUCCUGGAUCCCGCUCCACCUUCUAGAAGCUCCCAGCGUUACUUCCUGAGCUGGCCUGCACAUCGUUGCGCUACUCCCGUCCAAGGGGGGACAUAUUCGGUGACCGACUCAGAACGCAGCCUGCUUCCCGGGUGGCCAGUGGCUCAGCAGUCUCGGUGCCUGAGCCUGCUCCCUCCGCCCGGCGGCUGGGCAGGUGGCUGAAUGCGGGCUGGAGGCCUUCCCUGAGAAGACGGUUAUCCAUGCUGUACAUGGAAGUGACCAGCUCGGCACCUGAGGAGACACACCGCGGCCGAUGACAGGCGCAGAGCAGGACGUGGUGAGGUCCUCAUACCUAGGAAUGCAGAACAAGGGCAAGAAACUCGGUGCCCGCCUGGCAUCUGCCCUGCACCAGUGGCCUCCAGGAAGUUCUCCACCAAGGAUGUUCCCCAGGCACUCUGUGCUCGCCUUCACCAGCGUCCUGUGAGGUCUUUCACACUGAUGGGGAAGCCUUUCUAAAGGGUAUUAGGGGGCUUGGGGGCUGGGGGUGCUGAGUACCAAGGGUCCCAGGAAGAGACAGGCCAGGCUUAUGGGCUGGGCAUCCAGAGAUCGCCCUGACGCCAGCUCCAGGUGGAGUUAGGAGGGCACUCUUGUCCCGACGCAUUUACAGACCACUCCCUCUUCUUGUUCCCCUCGACUCUGAGAGUGUGGUGGGGUAGCUGUGGAACCUGACUGCUUGCCUGAAGGUUGGGCAGCGUGGCUAGAAAUUGCGGCCCAGACCUGGGAUCUCACCCACACCUCUAUGAGACGUCCUGAAGGAAACCAUCGACUGAGCGGAGAGGCUUCGCCUUGCCCGCCUCCUCCCAGGAAGGAAGAGCGGAAGAGGCGUCGCCAGCCACCGAGACUGCCAGCCACCACCCCCUCCCAGACUCUCUGUCCCCACCCCAGACCAGGGUCACCUUCUUCCUGCACUGGGGGUGGGGUGCGGUAGGUUUCGCAAUCCAGACUGUGGGGUGGGGGUGGGAGCAGGUGUGUGUAAAUGAGCAGCUCGUCAGGAGUCACUGAGAAGGAGGCAGAUGGAGCUGGUACCCAGCAGGUCUCCUCUCAUAAGCGUCAACCCUCGCCUGGGCGGGCUGGGGGAUCCUCAGCACCCCAGCUCUGAGCCAGGGGUCUGCAACCCGGGCACCAGCGAUGGGCCCUCAUGCACACAGGGCGCCGAGCGGGGCCGGAGGCAAGAGUGACUUCAGACAGGAACCCGACGCCACAGCCGGUGACGCGGACCCUGGGUCAGCCAGCACGAUGGGCCGCUGGGGAGAGGAGGGCUGGAGGCAGAGAGUGUAAGUGUGCAGCCUUCAUCAGCUUAUUUUUAGUCGCGUUAUGUAAGUGGCUUCAUCUCAACGUCACAUGGGGGGGGGUCUCAGAUUUAAUUACAGGAUGACAGCCUUUGCUUUUCAAGCAAGCUGUUCUCCUGGCAAGCCAGGCGAAGGAUUGGGGAGUUUUGCUAAACAGAAGGAGCCCUUUCUGAGGUGACCACCCGUCAAAACUUGAACCCGCUUCCACCUCCGUCUCCCUCUUCCCGACCAGCCUCACCCAGCCUCGGCUGAAUGUGGCCUGAGAGUAGCCACUUGUCCGCAAUCACAGGGACGUUUUAUGCCUGUCAAGGGAGCUUCCUCUCUCCUCUUCCUCCCCCUCCCACCUUCUGCCUGGCAGCUUUGCCUUCUCUCCAAGAGAAGGGUCCACCCAAUCAGAACUCCUCUUCCUUUUCAUUCCUGGAUUAAAGCACUUGUAAUCAGUAACCAGAAAGUUCCAGAGCGGGAGAGACCGGAAGGCACUGGAGUGCUAUCGGACGGGUGUCUGGGGCAGAGCCAGGAGGGCGAGCCUCUUCUCUCCCCGCCUGCCCUUGCUCACUUCCCCCUCCAUGCCAGGUGCUGUGGGAGCAGCUGGGCCUGGCCGGGGUCGGCGGGUGAAGCUAUCCGCAUGGUGUCUGGAGCACCGUUUCUUUGCUUCCUGGAUGGGCUGGAUGGGCUCCCGUGUUCUUCACCAAUGGCAGCGUUACCAGCACCAAUGGCAGCGUUACCAGCAAGAAGGCAAAGGCAGGAGCACAUCGAGGGUGGGAGCCAGGGCUGUGGGGUCAGGAGUCCCGCUCCUUGCCGCGGGAAGCCUGGCUCAGCCACCUCCAGCACACUUCGGCUUUGUCCAGCAUAAAAGGCAGAGCGACGUUUUCACUGCAGGCUGUUUCCCACCAGGGCAAGUGGGACAGGGCGAGUGCUGACGUCUGCAGGCAUGGUGUGCAUUUAGGGGUGGGCGGCACCGAGGGGGCAUCAUUUGGCAUAGGCGGGCCCGGGGGCCACUGGGCUAGAUGACUGGCUGGUUGCUGGGGGCAGGUGUCACAGCCUCUCUGAGCACCCUCUAAGUGGAGGACAGAACAUUGUUGGGAGGAGUCCAGGCAUAAAGUGACAUAAACAGCGCAGAGAAUGGGACCAGCGCACCUGAGAGGUGAUCAUUAGCCUCAGCAACUGGAUGGGACAUUCCGAAGAGCUCCCAGCCAACACAGAUGGUCACUCCAGAGGCUGACAUUUAAAAGGAAGGGGCCCGGCCGGGCACAGUGGCUCACGCCUGUAAUCACAACACUUUGGGAGGCUGAGGCGGGCAGAUCAACUGGGGUCAGGAGUUCAAAACCAGCCUGGCCAACAUGGUGAAACCGCAUCUCUGCUGAAAAUACAAAAAAUUAGCCAGGCAUGGUGGUGGGCACCUGUAAUCCCAGCUACUCAGGAGGCUGAGGUAGGAGGAUCGCUUGAACCCAGGAAGUAGAGGUUGCAGUGAGCCGAGAUUGUGCCAUUGCACUCCAGCCUGGGCGACAAGCGAAACUUCGUCUCAAAAUAAAUAAAAGUAAGGGGCACAGGGAGGGGGCCCCAGCUCGUGCCCCUUCUGUGUGGGCUGCACAUGGUGACUUCCUUCCAGAGAGCACAGAGUGGGAGGUAGGCAAGGCGUCUCCACAGUGGAGAGCCCGACCCACUGUCUCAGCCCAGAGGUCAAGGCUGGCACCAUCACCGAGAGGUCACACGGGCAGAUGUGACAGGGCGCUUCACCACUGGGCUCUUCCUCCCAGACCCAUAACCCUUGUCUUAGUAUUAGAAAAACACUGGCAGACCGGGCGCAGUGGCUUACACCUGUAAUCGCAGCAUUUUGGGAGGCCGAGGUGGGAAGAUUGUUCAAGAGCAGUCUGGGCAACAUGGUGAGACCCCAUCUCUACAAAAAAAAUUUUUUUUUUAAUUAGCCAGGCGUGAUGGCACAUGCCUGUGGUCCUAGCCACUAGAGGCUGAGGUGGGAGGAUCACUGGAGCCCAGGAGGUCAAGGCUGCAGUGAGCUGUGAUCACACCACUGCACUCCAGCCUUGGCGACAAACCAAGACCCUGUCUCGAAAAGAAAAGAAAAGAAACAUUAGGCAAAUCCCAACAGGGGGACACUCUACAGAAAAACCGACCAGCCCUCCUGAAAACUUCCCAAGUCAUCAAAACCAAGGAAAGUGGGCUGGGCGCGGUGGCUCACACCUUAAUCCCAGCACUUUGGAAGGCUGAGGCGGGCAGAUCACAAGGUCAGGAGUUUGAGACCAGCCUAGCCAACAUGGUGAAAUCUCAUCUCUAAAAAUACAAAAAUUAGCCGGGCGUGGUGGCAGGCGCCUGUAGUCCCAGCUACUCGGGAGGCUGAGGCAGGAGAAUUGCUUGAACCCAGGAGGCGGGGGUUGCAGUGAGCUGAGAUGAUGCCACUGCAUUCUGGCCUGGGUGACAGAAUGAGACUCUGUCUCAAAAUAAAAAAAACCAAAAACCAAAAAACAACCAAGCAAAGUCUGAGAAACUGUCACAGCCUAGAGGAACCUGGAGACAGCUGAUCCCUAAAUGUCACGUGGGAUCCUGGGUGGGGUCCUGGGAGAGAAAGAAGACAUUGGAGGGAAACUGAGGAAAUAUGAAUAAAGUAUGGGCUUUAGUUAAUAAUAAUGUAGCAGCAUUGAUUCAUUGAUCAUCAUAAACACAUGUACUGAUGCAAGAUGUCACCAAAGGGAAAACUGGGCUGGGGGGAUGGGGGGGUGGCGGUAUCUUUGUAACAAUUGCAUGAAUGAAAAAUGUGCUAGAGUUAAGGUUGUCAUGGGAAUGGGCAGUGAUCUUGCACAGGCCUCCAGUUUUACCUGCAGGAGUCCGAAGGCGUCACCUGUGCCUCACCCUGGAAUCUCGUCCUGGCCCCCAGGUCCCCACUCUGUCCACCUUGGGGUCAGUGGAUGGAGCUGUUGCCCCUGUGGUCUGCUGCUGCUGAUCACAGAGAGCCCCAGGGGGCCAGCACCCUGUGGAGUGGCCCCUUAUCCCGAGGACAGGCACGUGGGCCCGCC